This 528-nucleotide long non-coding RNA is filed under the name Homo sapiens (human). RNAcentral describes it as "non-protein coding lnc-MANEA-7:1". Lineage: Eukaryota; Metazoa; Chordata; Mammalia; Primates; Hominidae. The record is from RNAcentral.
UCCAUAAUGGUUGAACUAGUUUACACUCCCACCAACGGUGUAGAAGUGUUUCUUUUUCUCCACAACCUUGGCAGCAUCUGUUGUUUUUUCAACUUUUUAAUAAUAGUCAUUCUAACUGGUGUAAGAUAGUAUCUCAUUGUGGUUUUGAUUUGCAUUUCUCUAAUGAUAGGUUAUGUUGAACUUUUUUUCAUAAGUUUGUUGAUCGCAUGCAUGUCUUCUUUUGAGCAGUGUCUGUUCAUGUUCUUUGCUCACUCUUCAAUGGGCUUGUCUGUUGUUUUCUUGUAAAUUUGUUUUAAGUUCCUUGUAGAUGUUGAAUGUUAGACCUUUGUUAGAUGAAUAGAUUACAAGAAUUUUCUCCCAUUCUGUACAUUGUCUGUUCACUCUGUUGAUAGUUUAUUUUGCUGUGCUAGUUUAUUUUGCUGUGCAGAAUCUCUUUAAUUAGAUCCCAUUUGUCAACUUUUGCUUUUGUUGCAAUUGCUUUUUGGAUCUUUGUCAUGAAAACUUUGCUUAUGCCUAUGUCCUGAAUGG